This 520-nucleotide ribosomal RNA is filed under the name uncultured Acaulospora. RNAcentral describes it as "SSU rRNA". It matches the Rfam family "Eukaryotic small subunit ribosomal RNA", at positions 569 to 1084 of the family's 1831-position model. Lineage: Eukaryota; Fungi; Glomeromycota; Glomeromycetes; Diversisporales; Acaulosporaceae. The record is from RNAcentral.
AGCAGCCGCGGUAAUUCCAGCUCCAAUAGCGUAUAUUAAAGUUGUUGCAGUUAAAAAGCUCGUAGUUGAAUUUCGGGAUCUGUCUAUUGGUCGGGCUUUAUUGUCCGCACUGAUUUGAUGGAUUCUUACCUUCUGAAUAACCAGCAUGCCAUUAAGUUGGUGCGCUGGGGAAGCAGAGCUAUUACCUUGAAAAAAAUUAGAGUGCUUAAAGCAGGCUAGUGCUUGAAUAGAUUAGCAUGGAAUAAUAAAAUAGGACGGCAUGGUUCUAUUUUGUUGGUUUCUAGGAUCACCGUAAUGAUUAAUAGGGAUAGUUGGGGGCAUUAGUAUUCAAUUGUCAGAGGUGAAAAUUCUUGGAUUUAUUGAAGACUAACUACUGCGAAAGCAUUUUGCCAAGGAUGUUUUCAUUAAUCAAGAACGAAAAGUUAGGGGAUCGAAGACGAUCAGAUACCGUCGUAGUCUUAACCAUAAACUAUGCCGACUAGGGAUCGGACGAAGUUAAUUUUUUAAUGACUCGUUCGGC